This 492-nucleotide ribosomal RNA is filed under the name uncultured bacterium. RNAcentral describes it as "partial 16S ribosomal RNA". It matches the Rfam family "Bacterial small subunit ribosomal RNA", at positions 29 to 507 of the family's 1533-position model. The record is from RNAcentral.
AGUGAACGCUGGCGGUAGGCCUAACACAUGCAAGUCGAACGGCAGCACAGUAAGAGCUUGCUCUUACGGGUGGCGAGUGGCGGACGGGUGAGGAAUACAUCGGAAUCUACUUUUUCGUGGGGGAUAACGUAGGGAAACUUACGCUAAUACCGCAUACGACCUACGGGUGAAAGCAGGGGAUCUUCGGACUUUGCCCGAUUGAAUGAGCCGAUGUCGGACUAGCUAGUUGGCGGGGUAAAGGCCCACCAAGGCGACGAUCCGUAGCUGGUCUGAGAGGAUGAUCAGCCACACUGGAACUGAGACACGGUCCAGACUCCUACGGGAGGCAGCAGUGGGGAAUAUUGGACAAUGGGCGCAAGCCUGAUCCAGCCAUACCGCGUGGGUGAAGAAGGCCUUCGGGUUGUAAAGCCCUUUUGUUGGGAAAGAAAAGCAGCAGGUUAAUACCCCGCUGUUCUGACGGUACCCAAAGAAUAAGCACCGGCUAACUUCGUG